AAAACAAAAAACCCCAAAACUUAAAAGAUUCUCCCUUGCAUGAGAAUCUUAUUUGCCCUCCACUUACCACCAUUUAUAAUAAUUCCUCUUUUUGUUUCCUUCCUGCCCUGUUAUUAACACCUCUGAAGGUUGGCCCCAUGCAGGGAACAUACUACUUUUAUAGUGCACUCGGCUGGCAAGCAGUCUUUCUUACUUUCUCUGUGUUGUGUCUAUGUAUACACAGCAUAUCUGUGAGGGAGAUAUUAAUAUUAUUCCCAUUUUACAGAUAAAGAAGAUGUGAAGCAUAUGGAGGCUAAGCCCCUCCCUCCAUCAGGCCACAGAGCCAGGUGCAAGCCCAGUCUCACCCCAGCAUCCUGGCUCCUGUCAGCUGUCGUUUAUCAUCACUAUACACCAGCACGCCUGGCUCUUUGUAGGAGCUGAGUGAACAUGGGCAGAAGGAAUCGUGAAGUAAACGCUUCCAAGUCGGAACAUCCAGAGACAUUUGGUUCCUCUCUAGGUGCUCUUACCCAUUCCUAGUUCUACUAUUUAUGCUGGGAGGCAUCUUCUGUCCCUUACUAAUUGAUAAGUUCAUCUAGGGCAAGAAUCAUGAUUUAUCCAUCUUCGUGCCUCUCAUGAUACCCAACAGUAGGCGCUCAAAAAACUUUUCCUAGUGUGUGCAGGCAUUUAAAACUCAGUAGAAAUUAACCACAAUUGCAAUGAAGUAAAAUUCAACUAAGAGUUCCCACAAAAAAUAAGUACAACAGUCACCAUUCCAGUCAUUUAUAGAGCUGAUCUGAAUCCAGAGGUAAGUUUCCAGAAUUAAAGAGCUGUUUUAUAGACUGCGUCUUUCUACUUCACGAGUGGGUAGAAAUCAUCUUUAUUAGAAAAAAAAUAAGUGCGGGAGGGCGGGGGGCAGAGAGAACUAUUUCAAAAGGUUUUUCCCUGUUUGUCCUAAAUCCUCCAGAGCAGGCAGUUAAACGUUGAGUCCAGCGUUUCGGAGCCUGGCCAGUCUAUUACAGGCCUUGGUGGUGAAAGGCAGAGUGGCCUCAUCCAAGCUUUGUCUCUCGUCAGCAAUGCUACCUGUGCUGGCCUUUCCGCCUUACUUCCCAAACUCCUCUCCCAUUUCUCAUUUCUGCUCCCAUUUCCCCUUGUUCCCUCCAACACUACGAAGGCAAAUUAUGGGGCUCAAUACUGAGAAGUCCUUUCCACCUUAUUGAUAAUGAAUUUCUUUCCUGGGAAACACCUGGGAAAGAGACCAAAAAUUCAGGACAGUACAGCCUAAUCUGAGGUAUCUGUCCAUUCUUGGCAGGUAUGCAUUGCUAAAAGCAUGUGACUACUACCGUAUAUCAGAGAGCCCUUUUAUGGAACGUGGCUCUCUGCUCCAUGAGUGGGUGGAAAUAAUAUUUAGUGAAAAGAAGAGUCUCGGCAUCUUAAUGAAAGAAACCUAGAUAGGAGAUGAGUCAUUUAAACCCUCUCUCUGUCAUCACACAGAAAUAGCUUGAAGAAAGAAGGAGUCAACUCAAAUGCCCAAGGAGGGCAAUGGCAACAGAGAUUUGGGAAUCUUUUCCAGGGUAAAAACAACUGGGAUGGGCUAGGGGUGAAUAAGGAAGUUCCAUCCUGUCUAAAGGUGUCUGUUAUGGGGUGAAUUAUGUUCCCUCCAAUAAGAUUAUGUUGAAGUCUUAACCCCCAGUACCCUAAAAUGUGACCUUAUUUGGAAAUAAAGUCACUGUAGAUAGAAUGAGUUAGGAAAAGAUCACACUAGAGAGUAAGUAGGCCCGAAAUUCAACAUGACUGGCAUCCCAGUAAGAAGGUGGCCAUGAGAAGACAGACACAAGGAGAGUUCCACAUGAAGACGGGGGCAGAGACUGGGGUGAUGCAGGUACAAGCAGGGAACACCAAGGACAGCCUGCUGCCACCAGGAGCUACGGGAAAGAAACGGAACAGUCUGCCUCAGAAGGAGCUCACCCUGCCCACACGCCCUGAUUUCAGACCUUUACCCUCAGAAUUGUGAAAAAAAUUUUGUUGUUUUAAGCUACCCUGUUUGUGGUAUGUCACCAUGGCCGUUUUAAGAAUCGAAUACAGCAUCCCAAUUCAGACUUAAAAAACGCAAGAUGACCAAACCCAGCCCCGGCAGCUAGAUGGUCUCUAAUUCCAAUGCUCACUAUUCAGUGGGCAGUCACAUUUCUGUCAAAAACAAAAAUGCAGUUACAAAACAUUUUCUGGCUAAACAAUGCAUUCUCCUGGAUCUCACACAUCAGAAUUAUCUUCCAGAUCCCAGGGGUGAGAAGCGCAGCUUCUGCGUCAGACACCAGUCUAGUGGACAUCGCACGCUAGCCCUGCCACUCGCCAGCUGUGGGGCUUUGGGAGCUCUGUGCCUCAGUCUCCUCCACCUAUAAGUGGGAAUGAUAGUGAAGUCGGCCUCACAGAUGAGGAUGCAGGGCACACUGGGAAGCCUGCUGAAUUACAACGAGGGGGAGAACUCAGCAACCCAAGCGGCAUGAUCUCUAUCACAGGCUGCAGCACUGGAUUUUACCUUACUGUGCAUGAUUUUUCAUUUGCUUUACUGUGAACUCACCUAGGACGGGGUCCAGGCCUUGGUCACUUUUGCUCUCCUUGCACAUGUGUGGCAGGUAGUCAGACAUGCCUCGGGAAUGAAGGCAGGAAUGUACUUCAUCGACUCCACUCCUGUGAUGUGAGAUCCCUGAGGGCAGGACCCAAGUCCUACAUCAACCCUAGAGCCCAGCACCAGCAAGAUGCCUCUGUGCUUUCCAUGAAGAAGUCGGCCCCAGAACAUGACCUGCAUCUCAGAGAAGUUCUGAUUUAUGAAUUGGCACUGAGGCGACGUCGCUGGUGCGGAACACCAUGACGUCUGUGUCUAGGUUUUCCCAUGUGAUUCUCUUAAGAACAAAAUAUAAUACAGUCGUGUAAAUCUAAGUGAUUUAUUACACAAGUGAUUAUCCUAGAGAUACUGGGACCCACGACUUGGGGCUCCACCAAUGUUCCUCUGUUAUAUAAGCUCAGGUAUGAGUUCUGGGAAGCCACAGGGCAUGGGAGCAAAACCACAUGCUUUGGCUCAGACCUCGAUUGGAAUUCGGGCACCGCCACUUACUAAGGGGCCUUCUCAAGCCUGUCUCCUAUCUGUAAAAUGGGAAUGAGCCUACCGACUUCAUAGGAUUGCUGUGAGGAUUAAAUGGAAAUCGGUACGCAAAAUGGCCAGCACAGUGCUAACAUCUAGAAGGUGCUGCCCAGCCCCAAAGAGAUCUACCAGAGAAAUAAUAAUUCUCAUUUUUAGUCAAGCUACAAAAUAAGACUCCUCAUUUCUGAUUUGUUUUAUAAAAAUGCAAAAAAGAGAGAGAAGAAAAGCCUUCCAAGAUUCUGAUACCGCUCACCCCAGUUUUCACUUGAAAGUCAACCAAUGAAUGAGCACCAGGGUGAAGAUGGAAUUCUGCCAGCCACAGUACCUGCAAGAGUCCACAACACACUUGACUUUCAUUCAUGUGUACUACAAUCCUGUGGGUUAAAGGGCCAUAAAAGUUGUCCUGGUUUUUCUUAUACUUCAAAGGAAGCAAUUUAAUGGCCAUGAAUGACAGCCUCCCGAUUACACUGUAACUAUGAAACACGACUGUUCUGGAAUGAUUUCCAGGCUGGCUCCCUCACCAAAGGAACUUCAAGCCCACUGAGAACAGAGGGACACACACCACAGGGAGGUGAGCUGUCUCGGAAGGAGCCCUCCACGCAGACCCCACAGCUAUAUUAACUGUGCUUAACGUAAUCAUGAACACAUAAUCGCGGGGCUAUUGAAGACUCCAUAACAAACAAGAUCAAGGAGCCUGGAGCCUCUAAAACAUGAAAACCAAUUAGCACUAUGAAAUCUAAGAGCAGACACAGCCAGAGCUCGAGAAAAGGCAUGGGCAGGAGCUGGACUGCUCAAUCCUGCUCACUCCUCCCUUCCUUCCUGUUACACGGUUCUGUUCUGAGGUGCUGCUGAGAGGGGCUUCCUCUCCUGGGCCAGAACUGAGGCUAAGGCCCGAAGCUGAGGACAGAAAGUGAUCAACUCCCCACAUUCUAAAGAGGCUGCUGGAGAAGCGGCCACGACUGGGGCCUGACAUCCUUCUCUAGGGAUUAUCAGGCAGCACUCUGCUACCCAUCCCACAGGACCGUAACUUAUCCUUCCCAAUCCGUAGAAAGCAAGACUCUGAAGCAUGUGCGUUUGUCUUUGGCCUUGUGGGAGGUUUCUAUUCAAGAGGAAAACUGAUGCCAUGAAGGAUGGGAUGAGGUGCUUUCUCUUCCCAGAAGGGAAAGAUUUGGGUGCCUCGUGAAAGGGAGUCUGGAGUCAGCUCCCUGGUCAAUGAUCUACUUGCAGAGACAACUCUCUGAUCUCACCUUAAUAAAUGAGAUUCAUUCACCUGGCACUUUGGGUUUCAUGUAGGGGGAGAGAUGGAAGAGUUAGGGGAAUAAAAGGAGAUGAAAGGACUAAAGAAAAGGCAGAAGGAGGCCGGGCAUGGUGGCUCACAUCUGUAAUCC
RNAcentral lists this long non-coding RNA (4503 nucleotides) under Homo sapiens (human). RNAcentral describes it as "HSALNT0025302". Lineage: Eukaryota; Metazoa; Chordata; Mammalia; Primates; Hominidae. The record is from RNAcentral.